GUGUUUAAAGAGAAAAUUAAUCCGGACCGUUUAUCGCGAUUUGAUCUUGAUCAUAUGAUCGAAUUUAAAGAGAUAAUGAAUCUGAACUGUUCAUCACAUUUAAUAGUGACCGUUCGAUCGCACCUGAUAAGGGAAUGGAUCUAGACCGUCCACGCACGCAGGAACGCUUUCGGACCAUCCGAUUGCGGGCAUGCGGAUUGCUAGCAUGGCCUCCCAUGUGGUACCCAGUCAGCAUGCCUUGCCACACGGUGCACUUUGGUUUGUCGGGGCUACUGACUGGGCAGUCCUACGUGGUGUAAUUUUUCUUAAUUGCAUUCUAACUCCCAGUUUUUUAUUUUCUAUUUUCAAAAACAACAUCCAAACCAAAAUUUUCACCCCUUUUUCUCAAAAUUAUUUUCAAUUUCGUCCUCAACUAUUUUUUCCAUAA
RNAcentral lists this long non-coding RNA (427 nucleotides) under Carica papaya (papaya). RNAcentral describes it as "long non-coding RNA (CPAP_LNC003768)". Lineage: Eukaryota; Viridiplantae; Streptophyta; Magnoliopsida; Brassicales; Caricaceae. The record is from RNAcentral.